UACGUAGGGUGCAAGCGUUGUCCGGGAUUAUUGGGCGUAAAGAGCUCGUAGGCGGUUUGUCGCGUCUGCUGUGAAAACUCAGGGCUUAACCCUGAGCUUGCAGUGGGUACGGGCAGACUAGAGUGCAGUAGGGGAGACUGGAAUUCCUGGUGUAGCGGUGAAAUGCGCAGAUAUCAGGAGGAACACCGGUGGCGAAGGCGGGUCUCUGGGCCGUAACUGACGCUGAGGAGCGAAAGCAUGGGGAGCGAACAGG
RNAcentral lists this ribosomal RNA (253 nucleotides) under uncultured bacterium. Its description in RNAcentral is "partial 16S ribosomal RNA". It matches the Rfam family "Bacterial small subunit ribosomal RNA", at positions 524 to 776 of the family's 1533-position model. The record is from RNAcentral.